RNAcentral lists this ribosomal RNA (545 nucleotides) under uncultured Gammaproteobacteria bacterium. RNAcentral's name for it is "bacterial SSU rRNA". It matches the Rfam family "Bacterial small subunit ribosomal RNA", at positions 107 to 648 of the family's 1533-position model. The record is from RNAcentral. Lineage: Bacteria; Pseudomonadati; Pseudomonadota; Gammaproteobacteria.
UGAGUAAUACGCAGGAAUAUGCCUUAAAGAGGGGGACAACUUGGGGAAACUCAAGCUAAUACCGCAUAAACUCUGAGGAGCGAAGCUGGGGACCUUAGGGCCUGGCGCUUUGAGAAUAGCCUGCGUCCGAUUAGCUAGUUGGUAGGGUAAAGGCCUACCAAGGCGACGAUCGGUAGCUGGUCUGAGAGGACGUACAGCCACACUGGAACUGAGACACGGUCCAGACUCCUACGGGAGGCAGCAGUGGGGAAUAUUGGACAAUGGGGGGAACCCUGAUCCAGCAAUGCCGCGUGUGUGAAGAAGGCCUGAGGGUUGUAAAGCACUUUCAGUGGGGAGGAGGGUUAUUGGGUUAAGAGCUGAAUAAUUGGACGUUACCCACAGAAGAAGCACCGGCUAACUCCGUGCCAGCAGCCGCGGUAAUACGGAGGGUGCAAGCGUUAAUCGGAAUUACUGGGCGUAAAGGGUGCGUAGGUGGUUUGAUAAGUUGGUUGUAAAAUUCCUGGGCUCAACCUGGGCUGGAGAACCAAUACUGUUAGGCUAGAGUA